GACAGAGGGGGCAAGCGUUGUUCGGAAUUACUGGGCGUAAAGCGCGUGUAGGCGGUUUUCCAAGUCGGGGGUGAAAGCCUUGAGCUCAACUCAAGAAAUGCACUCGGUACUGGGUGACUAGAGGACCGGAGAGGAUAGUGGAAUUCCCAGUGUAGUGGUGAAAUACGUAGAGAUUGGGAAGAACACCAGUGGCGAAGGCGGCUAUCUGGACGGUAUCUGACGCUAAGACACGAAAGCGUGGGGAGCAAACAGG
Molecule: ribosomal RNA, 253 nt
Filed under: uncultured bacterium
Lineage: Bacteria
Description: partial 16S ribosomal RNA
Rfam family: Bacterial small subunit ribosomal RNA
Source: RNAcentral